AUGCCAUGGUGUGGUCAUUGCCUAAGUAGCUCUUUUAAUAUUUCCCAAGCUUCAAAUAGUGACUCUUCAUUUCUUGCCUAAAUGAGGUGAUUUCAUUUAUCAUUUU
Vicia villosa (hairy vetch) is the source of this 106-nucleotide small nucleolar RNA. Lineage: Eukaryota; Viridiplantae; Streptophyta; Magnoliopsida; Fabales; Fabaceae. The record is from RefSeq and is a predicted model, not a curated record.